RNAcentral lists this long non-coding RNA (2025 nucleotides) under Lactuca sativa (garden lettuce). RNAcentral's name for it is "long non-coding RNA (LSAT_LNC008731)". The record is from RNAcentral. Lineage: Eukaryota; Viridiplantae; Streptophyta; Magnoliopsida; Asterales; Asteraceae.
ACUCGCGACUCGUUUCGAUCGUCCAAUCGCCGUUUCCGACUUCGAAUUUUGAUUUCGGCAUUUUAUUUAAGUCAUUAAUGUAUAUUUUAUUUUAUGACUUAAUAAGUAUCUUAAUACCCUUAGAACUCAUUCUAACGUCUCAUAUUAAUGAUCGAAACAUUUCUAGAAUCAACCAUAUCGGGUUACGGCAAAUUGGCCGGGUGCGACCAAAAGCCCCGUCUAACGCCGGUAUCGGGUAGAAUUUCAUCGUCUCCAAAUCCCGAACACUAUUGAAAGUGUUCUAAGACUUCAUUUUGAAGCUUUUGCUUCAUUCUACAACUAUCACCCCAACCUCACUCGUCAAACUAGAAUUAAAGGUCCAAAUCUCAAGUUUAAGGCUUCAAAUCUUUGAGGUAACUUCCCUAGCAUGCUAUACAACCUCUUUAGCCUUCAAAUUCGAGUAUAAUCUAUGGAUUAGGACCAUUAUCAUGUGUUUACGGCCCUAGAACUAUCCUAGGCCGUAAACUCAUAUUAAUGGGGUUUUUGGAGCAACAAAACCCUUCCAAACCACAAUUAGACCUUAGAUAUGGCUAGAUGACUUUAUGGAAUGAGUUUAGAAUGCCUUGAAACAUAAUAUAGACCCUUGUUUAAGAGUUUACGGCCCUGGAAGGUGUCUAGGCCGUAAACACUAAUUUAGAGGGGUUUUAAGCCCUUAAACCCUUCCAUGGCUCAAACAAGACUUAGAUACGACUUUUAGAAUAUUGGUUAUGGACCUAGAACACUUGAAACAUGAAAUUUGAGGGGAUUUUAUGAGUUUACGGCCAAGGCAUGUGCUUGGGCCGUAAACUCCUCAAAUAUGGGUGUAAACUCACUUCUAAGGUGUUAGAAAGCCAUCCAACACCACCAAAAGCCUUGUAUUAAAUCCUAGAACCAUCUAAAAAUAGUUUGGGGACCUUAAACACAUCAAAUACCCUACAUAUGAGAGUUUACGGCUAUAGAACAUGCUCCUGGGCCGUAAAUUCAUAACAAGGCUUGGAAAAUUAACAAGAAUCACAUGUGAUUGUCCCGUAUACCUCAAAUUAGUUAUUCUUGACCAUAGUAGAGUUUACGGCCGUAAAUUCCAAGUUUAGGGACGUAAACUCCCUUUUGAAUGGCAUAAGUUCAAAAAAUCCAUUCCAAGGCAUUUUAGAAAUCCAUUCCAACAAUCCCCAUGUCCAAACAAGCCAUUAAGCACUCAAAAUCACACCAACAUGAGUUUACGGCCGUAAACUCAUGUGUGUAUGUGUUUUGUGGUUGUAAGCUCCCUUAAAUGUUUACUCUUGGGGAGUAAACUCAAAUUCCAAGUCCUUAGUGCCAUUACACGUCCAUAGAUGUCACCCGGGUCACUCCAAACACUCGUUUUGAGGUGUUUAAUCUCAUUGGAGUGUAAUGUCCCAUAUAGUUAGUGAUUGUAAAUCUAAUUAGAUAUAUAUGGACAUUAUUUCAUUUUACAUAGGGACGUUGCGAGUAAACAAGCCCCGAACCAACGUUUAGUAUCCGAAAUCGUCACAUUUCCGAGUCCGGUGAGUUCAUACCCCUACCCUUUUUAUGUGUUUUCAAUGGUUUUCAAUGUUUUCAGAGGGGGAAUACAAGCAAAAAGUACAAGUGUAUUUUAUACUUAAACUGAUUUACAACUUAAUGGUUUUACUUAUUAAAUGCCUUGAUUUCCAAAGUUUGUGAUAACUGACAUUUCAAAUUGCAGGUNCAAAAAGUACAAGUGUAUUUUGUACUUAAACUGAUUUACAACUCAAUGGUUUUACUUAUUAAAUGCCUUGAUUUCCAAAGUUUAUGAUAACUGACAUUUCAAAUUGCAGGUUAAAUAUAAAUUUCUUUUAAAAAAGUGUUGUAACUAUAUUCUCUUUGUAUAAGAAAUCAUAUUGAUCAUAUCUAAGGUCAAUACGAAUAUAACCUGCUAGGAAUACAAAUAUGAGUACGAGUACGAAUUCGAAUACUAAUAGGAAUACGAAUACAAAUACAAGUACGAAUAUGAAUUCGAGUACUAAUAGG